AGUAGAAAAGUCUUAACUCAACUCAGUGAUUUCUAAACGGUGCUGCUCUUAAAAGCUCUGCACCUGCAGCUAGGAUCUGAACACUCCUGGGAAAAAGGUCCACUUCUGGCAGUGAAUCGAGGUGACAACAGGCAGGAGGCUGCUUGGUCAUCAGUACAAGCUGCUCUUAAAGGGACACCAGGAGCUUCUCUGUUUCUCUGGAAGGCUGGAAGCACAGGCCUGAUCUUGAGUGUCUGAAAGAACAGCAACUAAUGGUGUCCAAGACCAAGAGACCCUUGAGGAGCUUGUCCUUGACUGUCACAUUCUUUUUGUAAGAUGCAGGUUGACAGCAGACUCAACUCUGGAAUGUAUGCUUUGGAGAUGGGUUUAAAGACUUGGACUCUGUCUUCGAUCCCGAAGCAACCCUGCAGCUUGAUUACAGGCCCUCUUAGCCUCAAAUCCGCAUUGGUGCUGUAGGACGCAAGACCCACGCAGGUUCCACAGCAGUCCUGCUGAGAUGUGAGGACGUUACAGUCAUCAGCAAGCCAAGUAAAAGAUCUGCUUUGUACCCUGGAGCAAACCCCAAUCCCCUUGCUUUAAAUCCUGGAGACAGUCUAGUUCAACCAUGAACCACCCAUAAAGGAAGAAAUCCACCCUGCAACUCCCACACAGAAAGACACAGAAGGCUCCCUCCCGGGCCUCAGAUUAGGCACAAACCACACCCAAACACCUGUUUCACUGAGAUUCUUUCUUAAGCAGGGGAGAAAAGUUAAAAGUGGCUGCUUUCAGAACCCAUGUCUGCUGGACCUCUCAUGAGGCCCACCAAACGGAGACGUCAUCCAGCAGCCAUGAGACUGGUUCUGAGAACAUCUGACUGGGAUCUCAAGACAAGCCCACCAGCUCAGAGAUUUAAGAGAAGACCUCACAAGGCUAAAAACACUUUCUAAGGAAUGGCAGAAGUGUUUGUUCCUCCAAACACAUGGAUCAAUGCAAGGAUGUGCUAAAUCAAAAGGAAUCUGGCAAACUGAACACUGGUAAAGAAACCGAACAAGGCUGGGACAGCUCACCACAGAAAUUAGAGACCUGUGAGUUGUAGGAAGGAGAAUUCAAAAUGCUCACAUUACAGAAGCUCAAUGAGGUGGAAGGGAACACACUUAAGAAGAAAAGUAAAGGAAUUGGAUGGGAAAAUAAACAUAUUUAUCCUUCAAUAAAAUAUAAACAUUUUUUCCAGAGACAAUCAUAGGCAGAAAUUGUAAAGUAUGAGAUUGUAACUUAAUUUGUAUAGAAAUUAAUUUAUGUAUUGAGUUAGAAUUUAUACAGAAUUUGAAAAAAAUGACAUAGAUCACUUCGGUCAAUAAGCUGUCAUUGUGCUGUGAAUUUUACCGUAUUCACAAUAAAAUUACGGUCCAUCAUUCAGAUAACUGGAAGGUAUAGCAGACAAUAGAAUGCAUGAGGGUAACGAACAAAAGAAUAUAUGGAUGCUUUCAUAUCUCUAGUCAAUCUAGUGAUAGAUGAUGUCCUUCCCAAAACCAGCCAACAGAACACAGAGGCCCCCAAAUAAGAAACGAUGGGAAAAUAAACAGCAAGAAUGAUGGGAUUUCUAUAGAAAGUGGUGAAGACUCACACACCAGGCUUCUAGAACUACUAAUCUGAUGAAUUUAUAGGGUGCAAACUUAAACUAUAUAAAGCAGUGGUAUUUCUAUGCGCUAUGAACAAAAUUACCUAAAUAAACAAAAGGAAAAAAGAAGAAAACCAAGAAAAUAACUUCAUUCAUAGUAGUUUAAGAUAAAAUAAAAUACUUAAAAAAACAUCAAUUUAACUACAGAGGUAGCAGACCUGUGUACUGUAUAAAUAAAAUAUUGGUGGAAAAAACCCAGAAGAUGGGUAAAUAGAAAUAUAUCCUAGGUUUAUAGAUCUGGAGAUUAUUAUUGUUAAAAUUUUCAUAGUAUAUACAGUGUUUUGCAGAUUUAAUGUAAUACUUCCAAUUCAAAAUUCUUAUCAACUUCUGUGACCAUGACUACCUAAGGCAACUUUGAGCAAAAAGAGCAAAGCUAAAAUCAUUGUAGUAAUGAACUUUAAUUCUGCAGAACUUUAGUGAUCAAACAAAUGUAAGCAGACUUGAUAAUAGAUGUACACAUGAGUGGAAGCAAAUGGAGAUGUUAGAAAUAAACUUAUAUAUCCCCAGUCAGUUUAGCCCAACUGACAAACCCAAGAAAAGAGAAUAGAUCUGAAGUGUCUCAACACACACACACACACACACACACACACACACGGAGAGCAAUUAUAUAAAAUGAUAUAUAUGCUAAUUAGCUUGAUUGUAGUAGUCCACAGUGUAUAUCUGUAUUAAAAUAUAUUGUAUAUACCCUUCACAUAUACAGUAUAUAAAUUUAUCAGUUAUACUUCAACAACACUGAAAAGUUUCAAAGUAAACCCAACACUAAAUAUAAACUUAACUAAACCCAAAUCUCUCAAUGGCUUACAGGUGUAGGGUGGCCAUUGCUGCAAAUUCUGGGUUCUAUAUUACACUUUUCACUGUCCUUGGUUGCUCUCUCAGCCCUCAUAUCCUGCUUUAAGUGUGCUACAACAACAAGACACAGGCUAAAAGGUUUAAACCACAGGAUGUAUUGUCUCACAGUUAUGAAGGUUAGCCACACGAUGCAGGUAUAGGCAUGGGUGGUUCCUUCUGAGGCUGUGAGGUUAGGCUCCAAGGCCCCUCUCAGCUGAUGGAUGUUCAUCUUCAUGUCCACAUGGUAUUUUCUUGUAUGUGCCUGGUUCUGUGUUUAGAUUUCUCUUCUUGAUUAAGACAUCAUUCAUACUGGGUAAAGAAGCCCUCUUUUCAGAUGACCAGUAUAAACACACCAGGGAAUGGAGCCAAUUUCUGGGUUUCUCAGUGGCCCAUCAUGGCAUCAGCGGCCUCCUCAGUGUCCCCCCUCCCCAAAGGGUAGGGAUGGCAGUAGAAUUGUUUGUGAGUGUCAGAGACAAGAAACCUGCCCAAAUGCAUGAAACCAGUGUGUUAAGAUGAGAAACUGAAGUCACUAUCGUAAAUCAUCCCUUGAGACACAGUAAGAUGCCAGUGUUCCUUAAUCUUCUGCUGUCUGUUUCCCUUGGUACCUCUAUGCCUAUAGUUUAAAUUGAAUGGGGGAGAAAGAAGCUUUAUUUUAUAUAAAAGUUUGAAUUUAUCAUUAGUGACCCCCCCAUGUUCAGGUGCAUGUCACUAUGUGCCUAUGGAUGUGGGUGUUCAUAGGACAACUCUCCAGGCUUGGUUCUUGCUUCUCACCUCAUCCAGGCAGGUACUUGCCUGUUUCUGCCAGGCUAGGUGGCUGGUGAGCUCCAGGGUUAUCCUCUUUCUCAUCCUUUAACAAGAGUGCUGGAAUUACAUUUGUACACCCCAGACAGGUUUUAUGUGGAUUUGGGGGAUGGUUGUUAGGCUUACCCGGUAGGCACUUUUAAGGGCUGAGCCUUACCGCCAACCUUAUUUGUUAAACAGUCCCCUCAAAGCACAGAAUGACAUCCAGAGCUAAAAGCCACUUCUUGGCAGCUGAAUAAAUAAAAGAGAAGACUUGAGUGCCUCCAGGUGGUCAGACUAGCUGUUAGUCAAUGUCCUUGAGCCUCGAUGCCUUUCCCUCUGGAUUAGCCUGGGUUCUGCCUGAGAACCUUACAACAGUGAUAAGGCAGGCAAUCUGAAUUCAGACACACUCCUGCCCUGGACAAUUGAAAUCUUUGUCUGAUGGAGAACUUGGAAACUAGCAGGCUCAUGUAAACUAGACGAGCAAGCCAAGGUAGACCAUGGAAUUGAGGGAAAAGAGUGAUUUCUAGAAAAUUGUGCCUUCAUACUAUUUACUCUCACCAUUCCGCGAUUGGCCCUGGAACAGCACAGAGCUGGCUUGUCAACGUAUGGGCUUUCCUGGGGCCCUGUUCCACCCAGUUGCCAGGAAAUGAAGAAAUAAUGAACGGUCUUGGAGGCCAGAGGGAGCUCCAGUAGGGAGCUCAUGGGCAGUGUGUCCCACUAAGAAGGAAGACCAAUUCCGCCUCCCACCAACUGGACCCCUCCAGACUCACCUCCCUCUUGAUACUGUCAGAAAGAGGCACCAAACACUGACAUCCUGAUUUUAGGUGGGGAGAACUGACAGUGGGUAAUGGCUUACGACAUUACUCUAGCUUCUGGAACAUUCUUCAUCAUAAUAUUUUUGCAAAGGUAAAUAAAUGACAGAACAAGC
Molecule: long non-coding RNA, 4196 nt
Filed under: Mus musculus (house mouse)
Lineage: Eukaryota; Metazoa; Chordata; Mammalia; Rodentia; Muridae
Description: predicted gene, 39079
Source: RNAcentral